RNAcentral lists this long non-coding RNA (241 nucleotides) under Volvox carteri. RNAcentral describes it as "long non-coding RNA (VCAR_LNC002678)". Lineage: Eukaryota; Viridiplantae; Chlorophyta; Chlorophyceae; Chlamydomonadales; Volvocaceae. The record is from RNAcentral.
GAGAUGCCUCAUAACGGCAGAGGUACACCCUGAGGAUGUCGGAGUCCACCCAUAAUCCACCAUACACGACAAGUCUGUAGGCUGUCAGGUUUGUCUGAGUGAGUGGUGGGGUGGUGGCGAGCAUGGAAAUCAUACGGUCACCAUAUAUGAAGGCCGCUGGAUCAUUGUCCUGCAAUGGCAGACGGGGAGGAUGGAACAUGAGCGAUCUGGCGUCUGGGUGAAGGUCAAAGGAAUGGAUUCG